RNAcentral lists this small nucleolar RNA (95 nucleotides) under Xenopus laevis (African clawed frog). Its description in RNAcentral is "Small nucleolar RNA SNORD14". It matches the Rfam family "Small nucleolar RNA SNORD14". Rfam says of the family: U14 small nucleolar RNA (U14 snoRNA) is required for early cleavages of eukaryotic precursor rRNAs. In yeasts, this molecule possess a stem-loop region (known as the Y-domain) which is essential for function. Lineage: Eukaryota; Metazoa; Chordata; Amphibia; Anura; Pipidae. The record is from Rfam by way of RNAcentral.
UUGCUAAGAUGAAUAUGAUUCCAAAGCCAUUCGUAGUUUCCACCAGAAGUCGUUAAGACUCGUGAUGGCUGUACCUUCCUUGGAUGUCUGAGCGA